This is a long non-coding RNA of Mus musculus (house mouse), 6729 nucleotides long. RefSeq annotates it as predicted gene, 51409. NCBI's taxonomy places the organism in Eukaryota, Metazoa, Chordata, Mammalia, Rodentia, Muridae. The record is from RefSeq and is a predicted model, not a curated record. The transcript is spliced from 2 exons.
UGCUGGGAUUUGAACCCAGGACCUUCAGAAGAGCACUCAGUGGUCUUCCCCGCUGAGCCAUCUUGCCAGCCCAAGGUGUGCCUUUUAUGUGUCAGUAGCUGCUAGCAUGGGACUCUAGGCAGCUUUUUUCUUUAUCUUUUCUUUGAGUCUUAAAGGCAGACUGUACUACAGCCCUGUACUACAGGUCCUUGUGGAUGACAUGGUCUAGAUGUCUGGUGUUGCCAUGUAUCCGUAUUUACCUCUUUGGUCUUGUUGUAGUGGGGGAAUGCUGCUUGCCUCUGUCCCGCUCCUUACAGUCAUUUUUUUCCCUUAAGUCUCACACGAUGGAAAGAGAGCAGACCUGCAAGCUGUCCUCUGACUUCACCACACACUCUAAGUAUAAUUAAGAAAGUACUGGCAUAUUGUUUGUAAUUGUAAAGUUAAUUUGUGUUCUUGAAAGUCAUAUUUAAGGAAAACUAGGGAAAUAUAUAACCUAUUUGCCUACUAUUUCAGGUAAAUGAUUUGAGGUUUUUUUUUGUUUUUGUUUUUGUCUUUUAAGGUAGGGUUUCUCAGUGUAGCCCUGGAUUUCCUGGAAACCCACUCUGAAAACCAGGUUGGCCUUGAACUCAGAUCCUCCUGCCUCAGUCUCAGUGUUGAGAUUAAAGGUAUGCUGCCCACCCCCAGGCUGGCUUUAGUUUUUCUGAGAUGUGACACUUUCACUCAGUGGCUUCAGAGUCCCAACUACAAGCCUUAUGCUCUAAGAUGCUAUUUUUUUAAAGGUUACUCUGCUUCUUAAAUUAGUUUCUGGCUCUUGUACUUGGAUCUAGUUUCAUAGUUUGUCUAGUUUAAUACACUAGAAUGACUUUCUUUUUUACUAUUAUAUUAUCUCUUCUGUGUGUACAUGUGUGGUGGUCAACGGACCACCUAUUGGAGCGAGUGAUCGCCUUUGACCGUGUGUGUCCUGGGGAUGAGACUCGGGUCAUCAGGCUUAGUGGUAAGCUCCUUUACCUGCCAAGCCAUCUUACAGCCCCAGGACGAUAGGCGUUCUUUUUCCUUUAGACUUCUUAUUUAUUUUAUGUAUGGAAAUAUGCUGUCUCUCUUCAGAUACACCAGAAGAAGGCAUUGGAACCCAAAACAGUUGUGGGCUACCAUGUGGUUGUUGGGAAUUGAACUUAGGACCUCUGGAAGAGCAGUCAGUUCUCCAACUCCCAGAAUGAUAUUUUUUUCUCAUAUCAAGAAAAAAGACUUUUAAGUUUUAAAAAUUUAUAGAGCUUUAAGGAUUACUUAGUAAUCUCCCAGCGGCUCGUGCUGUAGCUCAUUGAUAGGCUUGACGUGUUGGCUGUCCAAGACUGGCUCAGUCCACAGUACUCUAAAACCGCGUGCCUAUAAAUGUCUUUAGAACUAUACUAGCAAAAUAAUUGUAGGCUUCAGGUAUCUAAGAAGUAGCCUCCCCCCCACCCCUCGAAAUGGGCUUUUUUUUUUCUCCUAAACUGGGUUAGAAAGAAAAUUAUGUGUUUGUAGAAUGAUACUAAAAAUAUUUUUGUACCAAUUACUUAGUAGCAGUUAAUUUAGCAUGUACAAAGUGUUACUAUAAGGCUAAAUUUAAUAGCAUAUGAGUUCUAUGUGGUUGAGUUUAUUUGAACUCCGUUUAAGUGACUAUGUGAGUUGGAAAGAUAGCGUUUAGGGAUGGAGAGCCAGCUAUACUCCCUAGUUCAAGGCUGCCUUCUGCAGUACCGUUGUUUGCAAGCCCUCUAACCCUUGUCCUAGUUUGCUUUCUAUUGAUAUAGUGAUAAAAACCGUGACCAAAAGCAAGUUGGGGGAGGAGAGGGAUUAUUUAUUCUUAACACUUCAAGGUAACAACAGUUCAUCUCUGAGGGAGUCAGGGCAGGAGCUGAAGCAGAAGCCGUGGAGGAAUGCUGCUUACAGGUGGUUUCCCUGGUCUGCUCAGCUUGCUUUCCUAUACAACCAGGACCACGCGCCCAGGGGGAUAGCUCUCACAGUGAGUGCACAUGCGGGGGUGAAGAAAAGCCAAACAUGCAGGUGAGGAAGGAUAAACAAUGCAGUGGACACAAACACAUAUCUAAUUGUUUUCCUUGCUUUAAUUCUGUCACAGAUUGUUUUGGGUUUGGUGGUAGCUAAAUGAGAAAAAUAUGUUCAAUACUGAAAUCAGCGUGGUAGAGUCAGUAUAAAAUUUAGUAUGAAGCUUUAUAGCUUCCAUUUGGAUGCCAAUUCUAACCAUAUAUAAGCUUAGUAAGUUAUAUAGACUUUGAGUUUGGCUAAUUUUGGUACAUGAUGUUUUUGUUUCUUUACUGUUUUUUGAGAAGAGUUUAUAAAAGUCAUUAAUCAAGAAAGUGCCUCAUAGUCAGACCCACAGGCCAUUCUGCUGGAGAGAGCGCCUUGAUUCUAUGGUUCCCUGUUCGUAGAUAUGUCUGUAUUUGUGUCAGGUUGACAAAACCUAGCUAGCACACCCUCAAUUCAAUGCCUGUUUCCUCAUGUGUAAAAUGGGCACGUGUAAGCUGGGGCAUGGCUUCCAGCGGUUGUCCCAUUAGUAUAUAAAAACUCUGAGCAGUGGACGCAUGGGAAGAGUCGAUUUUAGUGACUUCUGUGUCCCUGUGGCUGAAAUACCUCAUCUUACAGGAAUAGUUCUUUGUCUUGGGACUGGAGAGGAUUCAGUUAGUGUUCACUGGUGUCCCAUGCUUUUUUUGGUCAGAACAUUAAACUGGCAAGACUGUGGCUUAGCAUACUUGUAACUUAAAAAAAAUCACAUGUAUGUACAAAUUGUUUGUGUGCAUAUACUUGUGUGUGAGAGUUGCUUGUUUUCUUCCACCAUAUGGGCCCAUCAAACUUAAUUUGUCAGGGUUGGCAAUAAGUGCCUUUAUCUACUAAGCCAUCUUGCGCCCGCCCUGUUACUAACUUCUUGGCAUUGGAAUCAGAGAGAGGAAACAGAAAGGGAUCAGGAUAAGGUAUAUUUCCCAAGGCCUUGCUGUAUGACCUUUCUCCAACCAGGCCCUUCCUCCUACUUUUGACCUACUUUUCAUAAUCCCGUCAUAGUAUAAUCCAUCAAGAGCUUCAUUUUAGUGUGGGGAUUCAUGCCUGAAAUCCAGCAUUCAGGAGUCUGAGGAAGGAGUUACAGGCCAGCCUCAGCAAUGUUGGUCUAGGUCAGCUUGGAUUACAGAGUGAAACCCUGUCUUAAAAACUCCAAACUAAAGAAAACCUAAACGUUGCCGUCAUACGUAUGCAUAUCCUAACUAAACGUUGCCAUCAUACGUACGCAUAUCCUAAAGAGAUAUGCUUUACUGAUCUUCUAGGUAUUUCUGUCUAUCAAGCUGACAAGACUCACCAUGAGUUUUUAGCUAUUACACUACUGUAAUCUGAUCACCUUUGAAAGUGGGGACUUUCCUUUCACUGAUAACACUCUAACUGUGCAGAAGGUGUUUGCUACACACUGGAUGCUUAGCUAUGUCUUCCAGUAAAUCAAUAGUAUCCAAAAUAGAAAAUUAAGCAAAAAGUGUAUUUAUGAACGCAUUUUAAAGCUCAAAAUAUAAUGUUAAGGGUAGGUUUUAUGCCUGGUGCCAUGGCACACACCUUAAUCCCAGUGCUCUGAGGCAGAGGCAGGCAGAGUUCUUUUAGUUCUGUGAGUCUACAUAAUGAGUUCUAGGCCAGCCAGAACCAUGAGAUGAGACCAUGUCUCAAAAAGAAUUGGGCGGGGGCAAAACCAAAUGGGAGUUUGGAGCCAGCAUGUUUGGGGUUGAAUAUUGCAGUGGCUAGAACUCAUCUGUGGACAUAUCUCUUGGCUACUUUCCUUCCUCUUGGAAGUGAGAUGAUCUUUAAGCUGCUUUACAGAGUUGAGAAUUAAGUAAGUGCUUGCUUAGCACUGUGCUAGUGCUAGAACGUAGUCAUUGAACAGUCAUUUCUUAAGGCCCCUUGUGUGGUAGGUAGAUUCAAUUCCUGUCCAAAUUUCACUUGAUUGUACCUUCAGGAUUAGUAGCUUUGUUUAAGAAGUAAGCUUUUUUGCUUAGUUCUUGGAAAUUUUUGAGUGUUUUGGAUUUCAUCACUGAGACAGACUGACAAAGGUGUUCAGCCCUAGAUUUACUAAUAAUCCCCCACAUCCUCGAGGCUUGGGAGUGCGAACUCAGGACCUUGUGUUAGGCAAAUACUCUUCCAUUAGACUAAAUUCUCAUCCUCAUUUUUUUUCUUUCUUUCCUUUUCUUUUCAAGAUUUAUUUAUUUAUUUUAUGUAUAUGCGCACACUGUAGCUGUACAGGUUGUUGUGGGCUUUUAUGUGGUUGUUGGGAAUUGAAUUUUUUUAGGACCUCUGCUCGUUCCAGUCAACCCUGCUGCUCGCUCAGUCCCUGCUCGCUCUGGCCCAAAGAUUUAAUUAUUAUUAUACAUAAGUACACUGUAGCUGACUUCAAACUCGCCAGAGGAGGGCGUCAGAUCUCAUUACUGUGGCUGUGAACCACCAUGUGGUUGCUGGGAUUUGAACUCUGGACCUUUGGAAGAGCAGUCAGUGCUUUUACCCAGUGAGCCAUCUCGCCAGCUCCUCAUUUUCUUUCUUAACUAGAAUGGAUGUAAGAAUAGUACAUUUAAGCUGGCUUGGCAGUGCAGACUGAUGAUACUAGCUCCUCAAGAAGUUGAGGCAGGAGGAUUGCAAGAUUUUAAAAUUACUGUGUACACAAAUAGAAAGCAACAUUAUAGACUUACUUGAAGGUCCCAUCUAAGCAUACCCUUGACCAGAACGCUGGCUUUCUGGAAGGAGGCAUUCCGGUUAAGGGCCAGGUCUGUCUUUCCUAUGGCCUUAGUCUCCUUACCAUCUUGUGGCAUAAAGCUGGAAACCACAUCUCUGUUUCCUUGAAAGACACAGAGGUUUCCUGGCCAGCGUUGGUUUAAUUCUGUGUUCUGAGCCUAAGAGUUCUAAUCUGAGGUACAAGAUUCCAGGUCUUCACGUCAUUCUUGAGUUUCCAUAAACAUCAGAACGGAACAGUAGUAAGGAUCUACCUGUGUAAUUCAGCCUUGCAUUUAUGAUUCUACUGCCUCAGCUUCCUGAGUCAAGAUGGGAUUACAGGUGUAUGAUAUCAAGCCCAGCAACACUUAUUUUCUGAAUUUUAAAUGUUAUCUUCUUAGUAGUUGUCUUAAUGUUUGUACACUAAAUGUUUAUUUAGUUUUAAAUUUGUGUUUUCCCAAUGACUAGUGAUGUAAAACAUCUUUUCAUGGGCUUAUGUGUACGUAGCACAUCAGGACCACAUAUCAUUUUGAUAGCUCUAGGCUUUGUUGUUUUUGAGCUAAGGGAUCCUUAGGUAGCUCUGGCUGUUUUCUGAUCAGGCUGGCCCAGAACUCAAAGAGAUCCGCCUGCCUCUGCCUCUCAAGUGCUGGGAUUAAAGGCAUAUGCCACCAUGGCCCAGCUAGCACUAGAUUUUUUUUUUUUUUAAUGUGUAAUUUAUAUUGACUGAAUGUAGUGUGUGAUGACUGUAAUUCCCGCUUUUGGGAGGCAGAGGCAGGACGAUUUGCAUAAGUUCAGGGUCAGUUGGGGCUACUUAGUGAGACUGUUUCAAGCUAACAUCUCUUAAGUGAAAAUUCCGGGAAUAAUGUUGAAAGUAAUAUUCGAUUUCAGUUACUUAACAUUUUUCCUGCCUGGAACAAACAAAACACUACUGAACAGGCAGGCAAACAAACAAAACAAAAUAAAAAACUUUCUGAGUUCUUCACAGGAAAUUAAUUUGUAAAAUUGGAGUCAGUAUUACUGAGAACUUAAAACUAUAGAAUGCUUGUGUGGAUAAUGUAAGGUCACACACAGUACACAAUAAGCCAGUGUUGGGGCCUCAGAGGAACAAAAGUAUCUUAUUUGUUUGAGUGAUCUCUGAGAGCAGUCCUGUUGGUUUAACCAGCACACCAUGUUGGCCAGUUGAGAAGUCAUCCACUUCAACUUUACAGUUGGUAAAGUGUCGAGGAUAUAAACACAUAAACGUAGCAUUGACUAUGGUUCAGUAAGUAUAUCACAAUAGAACCAGAGGAAUGUGAGCUCUCCUGAGUAAUAUGACACUGUAAAGGAUUAAAAUAAUAACCGAGUGGGUAAAUCAGCUGCUUUGUGGAGUGACUUAGUAACCAUUAAAUACUGAAUACUGACAAAGGAUAGCAAGCAAUAAUUCUGACUGUGUUAACAAAGUUAUUAAUUUGUAAAGUUUAUUUGGAAUGUGGGAGGUGAAUCAAGACAAUUUGAAACCAUUCUAAGUUUUUAAUCUUUGAUAUAUUAUAAUAUUAUAACACAAACCUACUGUUUAUUCAGAAAUACACAGUAAUGGGGGAAAAUGAGGACUCAGCUGUAUAGUUUUCUCUGUAUGAUGUUUAGCACACCUCUUUUAAUUAGAAAUGGGUAGAUUUAAAAGUAGUGUGAUAUAAUGGCUAUUGGUUGUCCAGUUGGAAAUAGAAACUUUCUGAAAGUUCAUAAUCAAAUUCCAAAGAGAGGAGUAUUAUUUUAAGUAUUACAUUUAUUUAUGUGUUGAGUGUUGGCAUGCAUGUGUAUGCAUACCAUGGCAUGCAUGUGUGUGUGUUCAGAUGACUCACAGAGCCUGGCUUUCUCCCCUCCAUGUGGGCCCAGUGACUGACCUUUAGUCAGCACGCUUAUGGUAAGCACUAUACCACUGAGAAGUCUUCCAGUCCCUGGAUGAGCAUUUUGAAUGUAAAAUAGUAAUAAAACACUAUCGUAAAACAUCUAAUUGUAGUCUUAGCACAGAUAGUAAAGUUAAGCCAAAAA